UACGUAGGGUGCAAGCGUUGUCCGGAAUUAUUGGGCGUAAAGAGCUUGUAGGCGGUUUGUCGCGUCUGCUGUGAAAUUUCGGGGCUCAACCCCGAACUUGCAGUGGGUACGGGCAGACUAGAGUGUGGUAGGGGGGACUGGAAUUCCUGGUGUAGCGGUGAAAUGCGCAGAUAUCUGGAGGAACACCGAUGGCGAAGGCGGGUCUCUGGGC
RNAcentral lists this ribosomal RNA (211 nucleotides) under uncultured bacterium. Its description in RNAcentral is "partial 16S ribosomal RNA". It matches the Rfam family "Bacterial small subunit ribosomal RNA", at positions 524 to 734 of the family's 1533-position model. The record is from RNAcentral.